Molecule: long non-coding RNA, 653 nt
Organism: Mauremys reevesii (Reeves's turtle)
Lineage: Eukaryota; Metazoa; Chordata; Testudines; Geoemydidae
Exons: 2
Source: RefSeq, a predicted model, not a curated record
GUUCCAUUCCAACUGCUGCCGGGACACCUCCCCCUAGAGCUUUCAUAAUUAGUUACUGGGUGGAUAAUCAUGAUGAGUGCCCAGUGCCAAUCUAACUUAUGCACAACCACCAAUGCAACCCAUGAAAAUUGCAUAUAACAAGGAAAAUAUCUUGAAGCUGGAAAGGAAUGGAGGGCCAAAUCUUCAGCUGGAGUAAAUAAGAAUAACACCUCUGAAGUCAAUGGAGCUAUUCCCAUCUACAUCAACUGAGGCUUUAAAGUGCCAAAGCCUUUAAAGUCAUGUACCACCUCAUUAGUAGAAUCCCAGACUCUGAAGGCAGCUGGAUGGUUCACUAGAUAACUCUGCCAUUGCCCCUGAAAGAACAGAAUUGCAGGGGCUGAACUAAACUCAGACCCGCUGAGUUGGUCACACUUCAUUACAGGAGACUGCAGCCUAAGGACCUGGUCUGGAGCAAGAGGAUUAUGAGAUUCCACCUUGACCAAGUGAGACCUAAAUAGGAGUGCUCUCCGGGAGGCGACAAAGAGGUCAGAGAUGUCGUUAACCAGGGAACUGUGACAUAUGUAAAGGAGAGGCCCCAGAGGAGGAAUUACCACAUACUGAUUCCAUAGAAGAGACUGAUGAAUUCAAACUAAAACUAUUAAUGUUGCUCUUAA